AGUGAACGUUGGCGGCGUGGAUUAGGCAUGCAAGUCGAGCGAGAACCGUAGCAAUACGGGGACAGCGGCGAAAGGACAGUAAUGUGUAGGUACCUACCCCGAGGUCUGGGAUAGCUGCGGGAAACUGCAGGUAAUACCGGAUAAUGUCUUCGGACCAAAGGUGUGAUUCCACCUUGGGAGGGGCCUGCAUCCUAUUAGCUAGUUGGCGGGGUAAUGGCCCACCAAGGCGACGAUGGGUAGCGGGUAUGAGAGCACGACCCGCGUCAUUGGGACUGGGACACUGCCCAGACACCUACGGGUGGCUGCAGUCGAGGAUCUUCGGCAAUGGGCGAAAGCCUGACCGAGCGACGCCGCGUGCGGGAUGAAGGCCUUCGGGUUGUAAACCGCUGUCGUAGAGGAGGAAAUGCAGGUGGGUUCUCCCAUCUGUUUGACCUAUUCUAGGAGGAAGUACGGGCUAAGUUCGUGCCAGCAGCCGCCGUAA
RNAcentral lists this ribosomal RNA (481 nucleotides) under uncultured bacterium. RNAcentral's name for it is "partial 16S ribosomal RNA". It matches the Rfam family "Bacterial small subunit ribosomal RNA", at positions 29 to 523 of the family's 1533-position model. The record is from RNAcentral.